GAGUGCCAGGUGGAGACCAUCGUGGAUGCCCUCUGUGCCAGUAUGCGGUCCGACAAGGAGCAGCUCCGGGAUAUUGCUGGCAUCGGCCUCAAUAUUGUGCUCUCAGAACUGCCACCUGCAGCCACAGGCUCCGGGUUGGCCACCAACGUGUGCCGGAAGAUCACAGGCCAGCUCACCAGUGCCAUUGCCCAGCAGGAGGAUGUGGCCAUGCAGCUGGAGGCCCUGGACAUCCUAUCUGACAUGCUGAGCAGGUGAGGGGACAGGGAUUUGGGUGUGUGGAGCCAGUGCCACCCAGGGGCACCUUAACCCUUAGCUAACCUGCCAAGAAAUGCUCUAUGGUCACCUCUGAACAGGCUCU
RNAcentral lists this long non-coding RNA (358 nucleotides) under Fukomys damarensis (Damara mole-rat). RNAcentral describes it as "lncRNA (ENSFDAG00000031785.1)". The record is from RNAcentral. Lineage: Eukaryota; Metazoa; Chordata; Mammalia; Rodentia; Bathyergidae.